Molecule: long non-coding RNA, 2205 nt
Filed under: Homo sapiens (human)
Lineage: Eukaryota; Metazoa; Chordata; Mammalia; Primates; Hominidae
Description: HSALNT0321183
Source: RNAcentral
GGGAGAGGGAGGGAAGGGAAAUUCUAAGUAUAAAAGAUAAAUCUACAGCUAAGGUUGAAUGGCUGUUACAAUUAAAUUUUUUUAAAACUAGGAGAAACUGACUAAGGAUUUCAAAUGGAAUAGAAACUGUCUUACACUUUAGGGUCUAAAUGAAAGGCAUAUACAUUUAAAAUGUAAAAGAAAGAAAUAUAUCAUAUGACUUUCUUCUUCUUUCUUACUUUUUUGAGACAGGGUCUCACUCUGUCACCUAGGCUGGAAUGCAAUGGCGCCAUCAUGGCUCACUACAGCCUCAACCUCACAGGCUCAAGUGAUCCUCCCACCUCAGCCACCACCACCAAAGAGCUAGGACUACAGCCGCUUGCCGCCACACCCAGCUAAUUUUUUUUAUCUUUUGUAGAAACAGGGUUUCACCAUAUUGCCCAGGCUUGUCUUGAACUCCUGGGAUCAAGCAACCUGCCCGCCUCGGCUUCCCAAAGUGCCAUGAUUACAGUGUGAGCUACUGCACCCGGCCUCAUAUGAUUUUGAAUAAGGCAUUUGCUUUAUGCUUUACAAGGUACUAGUAGUAAAAACUGUUUAGAGUGAUGUACAUAAAGAACAGUUCAGACACAAAUGUAAGACCUGAAGCUAUAAAACUACUAGAAGAAAACAGGUAAACCACUUCAGGACAUUGGGUCUAGGCAAAGAUUUUAUGGCUAAGACCUCAAAAGCACAAACAGCAAAGACAAAAAUAGCCAAAUUGGACUAUAUUAAACUAAAAAGCUCAGCAAAGGAAACAGCAGAGUGAAGAGAUAACCUGUUGUAUGGAAGAAAAUAUUUACAAACUAUUAAUCCAACAAGGGACUAAUGUUGAGAGUAUACAAGGAACUUAAAAGUAAAACAAAAAUAACCCCAUUAAAAGUGGUCAAGCGAUGUGAAUAGACAUUUCUCAGAAGAAGACACAAAUGCCCAAUAAGUAUAUGAAAAAUGUGUAAUAUCACUAAUCAUCAGAAAGAUGCAAAUGAAAACCACAGUAAGGUAUCACCUAUGACAGAGUGGUUAUUACGAAAAUAACAGAUGCUGGUAAGGAUGCAGAAGAAAUUCUUUUAUACUGUCAGUGGGAUUGUAAAUUAAUACAGCCUCUAUGGAAACACAGUAUUUCUCAAAAAACUAAAAGAACUGCCAUAUGAUCUGUCAAUCCCACUAAUGGGUAUUUAUUCAAAGGAAAAGAAAUCAGUUCAAUGCAGCACUAUUCACAGUGGCAAAGAACAGAAUCAACUUACGUGUCCGUCAACAGAUGAAUGGAUAAAGAAAAUGUGUUACCUAUGCACAAUGAAUACUAUUGGCCACAAAAAAGAAUGAAAUCAUUUCCUCUGCAGAAACAUGGAAGCUAGGAGAGAAGACUUGAAAUGUUCCCAGCACUUAGAAAUGAGAAAUAUUCGAGGUGAUGGAUACCCCAGUCAAGUACCUCUUGACUUGCUACUGGUACCUGGAAGAGAUGUAACACCUGACCAUGGGACAUCAAGUGACUGUGUGAAUCAAACUGCCCAUCAUGAAUUGUUGUUAUUUGACUCAUCAAACUGUACAACUGGAUGAACACAGGAGCAGUGCACUACAUAUGGGACUGGAACCAUGAAUGAGCAGGUGACUCAGACUCCUAUAGUACCUGCCUCUACUCCUUCAGCACUUCUCCCUCAACCCACAUAAACUGUCAUCAUAAUGAGUUCCCUCUGACCAGUUAAUGGAAGAGAAAAAAGUAUGGAUGUUAUGGAUAUCCUAACAUAUUUCUGGCCAUUGGACCCCUAGAAACCUGUGGCAAGUCCUGGAAGUUUUUCAAGGUUCAUCUUGCACCUUCUAGCAUGCAUAUGUCGUACCAAAGCAUGUAGAAUGCUGCCUACUUCUGCUCUUCAGUUUCAUUUAAUAUAAUUUCAUUACUCUGAUAAAUCAGUGUGAUGUUCUAUGGAAUAACAAAAGACCAUCAAGGUCCCUUCAUACCAUAUAGAGAACAGGAGAGUUGAUGUAGCCUGAGACAAGACAGUAAGGACUUACUGUUAUCCCUCCUAUUUAAACGUAGUCUGUUUCUGAUUCUCCUUAGAAUGGGGGUGGGGGGACAUUUCCAGAUCAAUAUCAGAUCAGUAUCAUGUCAACAUGGGUAUUAAUUUCUUCCGAAGAAGAUACCACACCUAGAACAGCAACCAUAAUUGGCAUCCCUACCUAAUUAAAGUUUGC